This 460-nucleotide ribosomal RNA is filed under the name uncultured Streptococcus sp. RNAcentral's name for it is "bacterial SSU rRNA". It matches the Rfam family "Bacterial small subunit ribosomal RNA", at positions 923 to 1382 of the family's 1533-position model. Lineage: Bacteria; Bacillati; Bacillota; Bacilli; Lactobacillales; Streptococcaceae. The record is from RNAcentral.
GCACAAGCGGUGGAGCAUGUGGUUAAUUCGAAGCAACGCGAAGAACCUUACCAGGCCUUGACAUGCUAGGGAACCCGGGUGAAAGCCUGGGUGCCCCGCGAGGGAGCCCUAGCACAGGUGCUGCAUGGCCGUCGUCAGCUCGUGCCGUGAGGUGUUGGGUUAAGUCCCGCAACGAGCGCAACCCCUAUUGUUAGUUGCCAUCAUUCAGUUGGGCACUCUAGCGAGACUGCCGGUAAUAAACCGGAGGAAGGUGGGGAUGACGUCAAAUCAUCAUGCCCCUUAUGACCUGGGCUACACACGUGCUACAAUGGUUGGUACAACGAGUUGCGAGUCGGUGACGGCGAGCUAAUCUCUUAAAGCCAAUCUCAGUUCGGAUUGUAGGCUGCAACUCGCCUACAUGAAGUCGGAAUCGCUAGUAAUCGCGGAUCAGCACGCCGCGGUGAAUACGUUCCCGGGCCUU